Molecule: ribosomal RNA, 472 nt
Filed under: uncultured bacterium
Lineage: Bacteria
Description: SSU rRNA
Rfam family: Bacterial small subunit ribosomal RNA
Source: RNAcentral
AGGACUAACGCUGGCGGCGUGCCUAACACAUGCAAGUCGAACGAGGGGUAGCAAUACCCCUAGUGGCAGACGGGUGAGUAACACGUAGUCAACCUACCUCUUAAUGGGGGAUAACUAGCCGAAAGGUUAGCUAAUACCGCAUACGAUCGUCGAGUGGCAUCACACGACGAUGAAAGGAGCAAUCCGUUGAGAGAGGGGACUGCGUCCCAUUAGUUAGUUGGUGGGGUAAUGGCCUACCAAGACUCCGAUGGGUAGCUGGCUUGAGAGAGCGACCAGCCACACUGGAACUGAGACACGGUCCAGACUCCUACGGGAGGCAGCAGUGAGGAAUUUUCCGCAAUGGGGGAAACCCUGACGGAGCGACGCCGCGUGUGGGAAGAAGGCCUUCGGGUCGUAAACCGACUGUCGAGGGGGACGAGUAUUGACGGUACCCCUGGAGGAAGCCCCGGCUAACCUACGCGCCAGCAGCCGC